GUACACGGUGGAUGCCCUGGCAGUCAGAGGCGAUGAAGGACGUGCUAAUCUGCGAUAAGCGUCGGUAAGGUGAUAUGAACCGUUAUAACCGGCGAUUUCCGAAUGGGGAAACCCAGUGUGUUUCGACACACUAUCAUUAACUGAAUCCAUAGGUUAAUGAGGCGAACCGGGGGAACUGAAACAUCUAAGUACCCCGAGGAAAAGAAAUCAACCGAGAUUCCCCCAGUAGCGGCGAGCGAACGGGGAGCAGCCCAGAGCCUGAAUCAGUAUGUGUGUUAGUGGAAGCGUCUGGAAAGGCGCGCGAUACAGGGUGACAGCCCCGUACACAAAAAUGCACAUGCUGUGAGCUCGAUGAGUAGGGCGGGACACGUGGUAUCCUGUCUGAAUAUGGGGGGACCAUCCUCCAAGGCUAAAUACUCCUGACUGACCGAUAGUGAACCAGUACCGUGAGGGAAAGGCGAAAAGAACCCCGGCGAGGGGAGUGAAAAAGAACCUGAAACCGUGUACGUACAAGCAGUGGGAGCACGCUUAGGCGUGUGACUGCGUACCUUUUGUAUAAUGGGUCAGCGACUUAUAUUCUGUAGCAAGGUUAACCGAAUAGGGGAGCCGAAGGGAAACCGAGUCUUAACUGGGCGUUAAGUUGCAGGGUAUAGACCCGAAACCCGGUGAUCUAGCCAUGGGCAGGUUGAAGGUUGGGUAACACUAACUGGAGGACCGAACCGACUAAUGUUGAAAAAUUAGCGGAUGACUUGUGGCUGGGGGUGAAAGGCCAAUCAAACCGGGAGAUAGCUGGUUCUCCCCGAAAGCUAUUUAGGUAGCGCCUCGUGAAUUCAUCUCCGGGGGUAGAGCACUGUUUCGGCAAGGGGGUCAUCCCGACUUACCAACCCGAUGCAAACUGCGAAUACCGGAGAAUGUUAUCACGGGAGACACACGGCGGGUGCUAACGUCCGUCGUGAAGAGGGAAACAACCCAGACCGCCAGCUAAGGUCCCAAAGUCAUGGUUAAGUGGGAAACGAUGUGGGAAGGCCCAGACAGCCAGGAUGUUGGCUUAGAAGCAGCCAUCAUUUAAAGAAAGCGUAAUAGCUCACUGGUCGAGUCGGCCUGCGCGGAAGAUGUAACGGGGCUAAACCAUGCACCGAAGCUGCGGCAGCGACACUAUGUGUUGUUGGGUAGGGGAGCGUUCUGUAAGCCUGUGAAGGUGUGCUGUGAGGCAUGCUGGAGGUAUCAGAAGUGCGAAUGCUGACAUAAGUAACGAUAAAGCGGGUGAAAAGCCCGCUCGCCGGAAGACCAAGGGUUCCUGUCCAACGUUAAUCGGGGCAGGGUGAGUCGACCCCUAAGGCGAGGCCGAAAGGCGUAGUCGAUGGGAAACAGGUUAAUAUUCCUGUACUUGGUGUUACUGCGAAGGGGGGACGGAGAAGGCUAUGUUGGCCGGGCGACGGUUGUCCCGGUUUAAGCGUGUAGGCUGGUUUUCCAGGCAAAUCCGGAAAAUCAAGGCUGAGGCGUGAUGACGAGGCACUACGGUGCUGAAGCAACAAAUGCCCUGCUUCCAGGAAAAGCCUCUAAGCAUCAGGUAACAUCAAAUCGUACCCCAAACCGACACAGGUGGUCAGGUAGAGAAUACCAAGGCGCUUGAGAGAACUCGGGUGAAGGAACUAGGCAAAAUGGUGCCGUAACUUCGGGAGAAGGCACGCUGAUAUGUAGGUGAAGCGACUUGCUCGUGGAGCUGAAAUCAGUCGAAGAUACCAGCUGGCUGCAACUGUUUAUUAAAAACACAGCACUGUGCAAACACGAAAGUGGACGUAUACGGUGUGACGCCUGCCCGGUGCCGGAAGGUUAAUUGAUGGGGUUAGCCGCAAGGCGAAGCUCUUGAUCGAAGCCCCGGUAAACGGCGGCCGUAACUAUAACGGUCCUAAGGUAGCGAAAUUCCUUGUCGGGUAAGUUCCGACCUGCACGAAUGGCGUAAUGAUGGCCAGGCUGUCUCCACCCGAGACUCAGUGAAAUUGAACUCGCUGUGAAGAUGCAGUGUACCCGCGGCAAGACGGAAAGACCCCGUGAACCUUUACUAUAGCUUGACACUGAACAUUGAGCCUUGAUGUGUAGGAUAGGUGGGAGGCUUUGAAGUGUGGACGCCAGUCUGCAUGGAGCCGACCUUGAAAUACCACCCUUUAAUGUUUGAUGUUCUAACGUUGACCCGUAAUCCGGGUUGCGGACAGUGUCUGGUGGGUAGUUUGACUGGGGCGGUCUCCUCCUAAAGAGUAACGGAGGAGCACGAAGGUUGGCUAAUCCUGGUCGGACAUCAGGAGGUUAGUGCAAUGGCAUAAGCCAGCUUGACUGCGAGCGUGACGGCGCGAGCAGGUGCGAAAGCAGGUCAUAGUGAUCCGGUGGUUCUGAAUGGAAGGGCCAUCGCUCAACGGAUAAAAGGUACUCCGGGGAUAACAGGCUGAUACCGCCCAAGAGUUCAUAUCGACGGCGGUGUUUGGCACCUCGAUGUCGGCUCAUCACAUCCUGGGGCUGAAGUAGGUCCCAAGGGUAUGGCUGUUCGCCAUUUAAAGUGGUACGCGAGCUGGGUUUAGAACGUCGUGAGACAGUUCGGUCCCUAUCUGCCGUGGGCGCUGGAGAACUGAGGGGGGCUGCUCCUAGUACGAGAGGACCGGAGUGGACGCAUCACUGGUGUUCGGGUUGUCAUGCCAAUGGCACUGCCCGGUAGCUAAAUGCGGAAGAGAUAAGUGCUGAAAGCAUCUAAGCACGAAACUUGCCCCGAGAUGAGUUCUCCCUGACUCCUUGAGAGUCCUGAAGGAACGUUGAAGACGACGACGUUGAUAGGCCGGGUGUGUAAGCGCAGCGAUGCGUUGAGCUAACCGGUACUAAUGAACCGUGAGGCUUAACCUU
RNAcentral lists this ribosomal RNA (2889 nucleotides) under Escherichia coli. RNAcentral's name for it is "partial 23S ribosomal RNA". It matches the Rfam family "Bacterial large subunit ribosomal RNA". Lineage: Bacteria; Pseudomonadati; Pseudomonadota; Gammaproteobacteria; Enterobacterales; Enterobacteriaceae. The record is from RNAcentral.